This 250-nucleotide ribosomal RNA is filed under the name uncultured Alloprevotella sp. RNAcentral describes it as "partial 16S ribosomal RNA". It matches the Rfam family "Bacterial small subunit ribosomal RNA", at positions 524 to 774 of the family's 1533-position model. Lineage: Bacteria; Pseudomonadati; Bacteroidota; Bacteroidia; Bacteroidales; Prevotellaceae. The record is from RNAcentral.
UACGGAAGGUCCGGGCGUUAUCCGGAAUUAUUGGGUUUAAAGGGAGCGCAGGCGGGAGUAUAAGUCAGCUGUUAAAUAUCAGAGCCCAACUCUGUUAUGCAGUUGAAACUAUAUUUCUUGAGUACGCACAGGGAUGGCGGAAUUCAGGGUGUAGCGGUGAAAUGCUUAGAUAUCCUGAAGAACUCCGAUCGCGAAGGCAGCCAUCCGGAGCGUAACUGACGCUGAGGCUCGAAGGUGCGGGUAUCGAACA